Molecule: ribosomal RNA, 405 nt
Filed under: bacterium
Lineage: Bacteria
Description: partial 16S ribosomal RNA
Rfam family: Bacterial small subunit ribosomal RNA
Source: RNAcentral
UAAGGAAUAUUGCGCAAUGGGGGAAACCCUGACGCAGCAACGCCGCGUGGAGGAUGACACUUUUCGGAGCGUAAACUCCUUUUAUCAGGAAAGAAUAAUGACGGUACCUGAUGAAUAAGCACCGGCUAACUCCGUGCCAGCAGCCGCGGUAAUACGGGGGGUGCAAGCGUUACUCGGAAUCACUGGGCGUAAAGGACGCGUAGGCGGAUUAUCAAGUCUUUUGUGAAAUCUAGUGGCUUAACCACUAAACUGCUUAGGAAACUGAUAGUCUAGAGUAGGGGAGAGGUAGAUCGAAUUCUUGGUGUAGGGGUAAAAUCCGUAGAGAUCAAGAAGAAUACCCAUUGCGAAAGCGAUCUGCUGGAACCUAACUGACGCUGAGGCGUGAAAGCGUGGGUAGCAAACAGG